AUAUAUAGUUCACUGAAAUUUUUACCAGCUGCUGAGUUGGGAAUAUUGAAGCAAAAAAUAGAAGCAAGCUGAGGUGGAGUCCUGGGAAAGCAUGAACAGGAUGCAGAAAUUCAGGAAAUGGAGCCAAAAUGGAGCCAAAAUGGAGCUGCGGGCUAGCCAGGCUCAGCUUCCAGGUUAGCAGAGAAGGAGAUGACAAAUUGGAGUGUGAUAAAGUAGCCCUGAACCUGUUUGAAGACAGAAGGGGGAAAAAAGAAGUCCAUGAAACACAGGAUGGAGGACACCAGAGGAAUGAAAGGGAUCUUCCAAGGCUAUAGAAAUGGGAGAUCCAGCCAAAAUAGUCAAGGUCAGCAUCAUCUUGUGCCCUGAAUUCCUGUUGUGCUUCUAACAAAACCUUGAGCUCUUCAGUUUCGCUUGUUCUAUAAUACUGAGCAGCUUCUCAUUGCAUUCACACUUCAUUUUAAACAUUCUAGAGUCUUCUCAGUGUUUUUUAUGAUUUAUUUAUUUAAAAGGCAAGGUGACAGAGGG
RNAcentral lists this long non-coding RNA (525 nucleotides) under Oryctolagus cuniculus (rabbit). RNAcentral describes it as "lncRNA (ENSOCUG00000037485.1)". Lineage: Eukaryota; Metazoa; Chordata; Mammalia; Lagomorpha; Leporidae. The record is from RNAcentral.